RNAcentral lists this ribosomal RNA (1668 nucleotides) under human gut metagenome. Its description in RNAcentral is "bacterial LSU rRNA". It matches the Rfam family "Bacterial large subunit ribosomal RNA", at positions 1378 to 2925 of the family's 2925-position model. The record is from RNAcentral.
GGUGAGUCGGGUCCUAAGGCGAGGCCGACAGGCGUAGUCGAAUGGAUGAACGGGUGGAUAUUCCCGUACCGACCAUGGACCGGCAAAACCGAGACGGUGAGUACUAACCUCCGCCUCGUGGUGGUUCCUUCCUUCGGGUUGGUUCCGCCGCGUGGUGUUGGGAGCGUAGCCGCAGUAGGUCAGCGCAGGGGUGACACGGAAUGGGAGCCGGCCGCGGAGGUGGUUUUCCGUGGUCAAGCACGCAGCCAGUCAUGUAGGCAAAUCCGCAUGGCGUGCAUGGCGAGGUGUGAUGAUGGGAGCCGUUAUGGCUCGAUAUCCGGUUGUCCAGGCCGUCGAGAAAAGCCUCGGCGUGAGGGCCAUGGCCGCCCGUACCCCAAACCGACACUGGUGGUCAGGUAGAGAAUACCAAGGCGAUCGAGCGAAUCCUGGUCAAGGAACUCGGCAAAUCACUCCCGUGCCUUCGGUAUAAGGGAGACCCACUGGGGUGAAGGACCUUGCGUCCGGAGCUUUGGUGGGUGGCACAGACCAGGGGGUAGCGACUGUUUACCAAAAACACAGGUGCAUGCGAAGGCGAAAGCCGCUGUAUAUGCACUGACGCCUGCCCGGUGCCGGAAGGUUAAGAGGAUCCGUCAGCCUUCGGGUGAAGCGGUGAAUUCAAGCCCCGGUAAACGGCGGUGGUAACUAUAACCAUCCUAAGGUAGCGAAAUUCCUUGUCGGGUAAGUUCCGACCUGCACGAAUGGCGUAACGACUUCCCCACUGUCUCGACCAGGAGCUCGGCGAAAUUGCAGUACGAGUAAAGAUGCUCGUUAAGCGCAGAAGGACGAAAAGACCCCGGGACCUUUACUAUACCUUGGUAUUGGCGUUAGGCGCGGAUUGUGUAGCAUAGGCGGGAGGCUUCGAAGCGUGGGCGCCAGCUCAUGUGGAGCCGCAAGGUGAAAUACCGCUCUGUUCUCGUUUGACGUCUAACCUCGACAAGUCAUCCUUGUCAGGGACAGUGCCUGGCGGGUAGUUCAACUGGGGCGGUUGCCUCCCAAAGAGUAACGGAGGCGCUCAAAGGUCCGCUCAGCCCGGUUGGCAAUCGGGUGUCGAGUGUAAUCGCACAAGCGGGCUUGACUGCGAGGACGACGGUCCGAGCAGGGACGAAAGUCGGAGAUAGUGAUCCGGUGCCGGCGCACGGGCGCGGCAUCGCUCAACGGAUAAAAGGUACCCCGGGGAUAACAGGCUGAUCAUUCCCAAGAGUCCAUAUCGACGGGAUGGUUUGGCACCUCGAUGUCGGCUCGUCGCAUCCUGGGGCUGGAGCAGGUCCCAAGGGUUCGGCUGUUCGCCGAUUAAAGCGGCACGCGAGCUGGGUUCAGAACGUCGUGAGACAGUUUGGUCUCUAUCCUCUGCGCUCGUUGGAAUCCUGAGGAGGCCUGCCCAUAGUACGAGAGGACCUGGGUGGACGAACCUCUGGUAUGCCGGUUGUCGCGCCAGCGGCACGGCCGGUUGGCUACGUUCGGGAGGGAUAACCGCUGAAAGCAUCUAAGCGGGAAGCCUGCUCCAAGAUUAGGAUUCCGUACGGUCUUGAACCGUUGUAGCCCGCAUGUUGAACACGUGUUUGAUAGGCCGGAGGUGGAAGCCCCGUGAGGGGUGGAGCCGACCGGUACUAACGGGCGACGGCGACACAA